GGAGAUGGCUUAGUUGGUGAAGCACUUGUCCUGCAAACAUGAGGGUCUGAGUUUGCUUCUCAAAGUCUCCC
This 71-nucleotide transfer RNA is filed under the name Rattus norvegicus (Norway rat). It matches the Rfam family "tRNA". Rfam says of the family: Transfer RNA (tRNA) molecules are approximately 80 nucleotides in length. Lineage: Eukaryota; Metazoa; Chordata; Mammalia; Rodentia; Muridae. The record is from Rfam by way of RNAcentral.